GUGACAGGUGGUGCAUGGUUGUCGUCAGCUCGUGUCGUGAGAUGUUGGGUUAAGUCCCGCAACGAGCGCAACCCUUAAGCUUAGUUGCCAUCAUUAAGUUGGGCACUCUAAGUUGACUGCCGGUGACAAACCGGAGGAAGGUGGGGAUGACGUCAAAUCAUCAUGCCCCUUAUGAUUUGGGCUACACACGUGCUACAAUGGACAAUACAAAGGGCAGCGAAACCGCGAGGUCAAGCAAAUCCCAUAAAGUUGUUCUCAGUUCGGAUUGUAGUCUGCAACUCGACUACAUGAAGCUGGAAUCGCUAGUAAUCGUAGAUCAG
RNAcentral lists this ribosomal RNA (320 nucleotides) under Staphylococcus aureus. Its description in RNAcentral is "bacterial SSU rRNA". It matches the Rfam family "Bacterial small subunit ribosomal RNA", at positions 1031 to 1352 of the family's 1533-position model. Lineage: Bacteria; Bacillati; Bacillota; Bacilli; Caryophanales; Staphylococcaceae. The record is from RNAcentral.